RNAcentral lists this ribosomal RNA (404 nucleotides) under Fusobacteriota bacterium. Its description in RNAcentral is "Fusobacteria bacterium partial 16S ribosomal RNA". It matches the Rfam family "Bacterial small subunit ribosomal RNA", at positions 355 to 776 of the family's 1533-position model. The record is from RNAcentral. Lineage: Bacteria; Fusobacteriati; Fusobacteriota.
CGGGGAAUAUUGCACAAUGGAGGGAACUCUGAUGCAGCGACGCCGCGUGAGUGAUGAAGGAAUUCGUUUCGUAAAACUCUGUUCUAUGGGAAGAAAAGGACUGUACCAUAGGAGAAAGCUCCGGCUAAAUACGUGCCAGCAGCCGCGGUAAUACGUAUGGAGCGAGCGUUGUCCGGAAUUAUUGGGCGUAAAGGGUGCGCAGGCGGCUUUACAAGUUGGAUGUGAAAUAUUGUGGCUCAACCACAAACGUGCAUCCAAAACUGCAAAGCUUGAGUUAAGGAGAGGUAAGUGGAAUUCCUGGUGUAGCGGUGGAAUGCGUAGAUAUCAGGAGGAAUACCGGUGGUGAAGGCGACUUACUGGACUUAAACUGACGCUCAGGCACGAAAGCGUGGGGAGCAAACAGG